UAAGAAUGUUCACUAUGAGACAAAGCCUAUAAAUUUUAGAUAAACAUGAUACAAGUAUACUAAACAUAAUUAAGGUGUGAAAAAUUCGAUAAAUAUAUUCUUAUCUUUCUUUGUUUUCACAAUAAGUGCGUAAAAAUAAUUUUUAUGUGCAAAUUGACAUUCUUGGAUUUGAUUAUUAUUUCACUUGACUUUACAUUACUAAAUCGAUAAAUUUCGAGUUAGACUAACUCUAUUCCUUGAGAAAUAAUAAUUGGAAAUUCUAAUAAUUAAUUUAAUCGCUAAAUAAUAUAAGAAUUACUAGGAAUCUCAAUAUUCAAGUUUAAUCGAUAAUUAUUCGAUAAAAAUGGUUUAGGUGUAUUAGGGUAUAAUUAGGCGUUUAAAUCACGCUUGGGGAUAAUUUUUAGAAUUAAGUUGGAUUUGAGAAAUUAAGUUGAGGUUGGGGAGCAAAGUGAAAAGACUAAAAUGCCCUUACAUUUCCAUGCAAACCAAACGAAACCUCUGACAACAAUUUAAUCACCACAACUAUCGGCCAAUCACAUUUUAUCCAAUUCGAUACGCAACCUCUGCUCCAAAACCGUAAACCAUUCUUUCUUCCUUCUCCAAAACCGCGGCACCAUAUUUUCUACUUCAUUUCUAAAUCACAAACCACUACCGCAACUCCAUAUCCUCUGCAACCAUUCAUCUCAGACCACACUUCAUCCUUCACCUCGUAAACAUCGACCGGAAGUGAAUGUGUGAGAGCUUCCAUUUCCUUUCGGACCAGAGGCUGGAACCAGAAAGGAAUCGCGAGCUGCAAUCUUUCCUGUUUCUGUCCGUGAGCUCGAGGGAAGAGAGGGAGAGGCCGUGCGUGAGUUUCCUCUGCAUUUUCUAAACCUCACCCAGCUGCUAAUCAUCACCAUUUCCAUCAAUUCCAGCCGCAACUACUGCAACCUCUGCAACCAAGAACAUCACAUCCAGUCACGUGUGAAUCAAGAGGGGAGAAACUUCAGCUUUCUGCCGUGCGUAUAACCUUCAUUGUUAGGACUGGGCUCGGUCGGGUAGGUUGGAACCCUGGACAACCGUUUCGGUAUACUCGAGUAUUACCACUGGAGGGAUAAGGUGAUGGCCAGUCAACCGUGGGGAUCCGGGAGUUAUAAGGUGCAGAUGACCGACAAAGUUCCACUGGAACACCGUAUCCUUUCGUGCUUGCUUUACUAUUAAUAAUAUUAUUGCUCUCCUAGUUGGCAUUCUCGGGUAAGACUCCUCAUGAGCAUUAACCUCUGAGAUGAAGCAAUCCUUGUAAUGUUCUUCUAGUCGGACGAGCCACUAUUUGUUUGACUGAAAAUUUAUGAAAAUGUAUUUAUAUGGCCAUUCAUUCCAAAAGUACUAGUUCUACAUGUGUUUUGAAGGUAGCAAUUACCCAUGUAAUGAUUAUCACCUCAUGGUAACAUGCCAUUGUGUAACCCCGAAUCAUGCAUAUGAUGUGCACAACUUACCUGACCUAUUUGAACUGUUAGAGCGUCUUGGAACCUCACUGGGCUGUGUAGCUCAUCCCACGUUGUGGUUUUCUUUUACAGGUUCUGACAACUGAGGAAGACUUGAGAUCUACUUGUACUUUAAGCAUGUAGUUUGAAUUAAACAAUGUAGCUUUGGUUUCGGGUUGCCACUUGAAGUUGGAAAAGUGUAAACCCUGGAUUUGUAUGUGGCUUGUAUGAAUUUGUUACUUGGCUUGUAAGGAUGUAUUUGAAUUGUUUUUUUUUUGUUUCUUGGGUUGUAUUCGGGAAGAUAUUUUAAGAAUCGACAUUGGCUAUCUUAAGGAACCGUUAUCUCUGAAGUUAAUGUGAUUCUAGAAACCGGCCUAUUUGGAGGGAAACGAUGUUGUAAUAGAUUAGGUUAUACUUCGGAAGGAUUUUUGCUAG
Coffea arabica (coffee) is the source of this 1898-nucleotide non-coding RNA. The record is from RefSeq and is a predicted model, not a curated record. Lineage: Eukaryota; Viridiplantae; Streptophyta; Magnoliopsida; Gentianales; Rubiaceae.